This 200-nucleotide microRNA precursor is filed under the name Oryza meridionalis. RNAcentral describes it as "MIR812 microRNA precursor family". It matches the Rfam family "MIR812 microRNA precursor family". The record is from Rfam by way of RNAcentral. Lineage: Eukaryota; Viridiplantae; Streptophyta; Magnoliopsida; Poales; Poaceae.
UCUAAGUGGAGUUAUGAUUUCUGUGUCUAACAUUGACUGUCCAUUUGUUUGAAAUAUUUUAUGAUUACUAUUUUUAUUAUUGUUAGAUGAUAAAAUAUAAAUAAUAUUUUAUGUGUAUCUUAUUUCUUUACUUUUUAUAAAUAUUUUAAAUAAAACAUACGCUUAAACAUUAGGCAUCAUAAUCAACUACUGCAUUUAAA